RNAcentral lists this ribosomal RNA (1158 nucleotides) under Enterococcus faecium. Its description in RNAcentral is "bacterial SSU rRNA". It matches the Rfam family "Bacterial small subunit ribosomal RNA", at positions 62 to 1194 of the family's 1533-position model. Lineage: Bacteria; Bacillati; Bacillota; Bacilli; Lactobacillales; Enterococcaceae. The record is from RNAcentral.
UCGAACGCUUCUUUUUCCACCGGAGCUUGCUCCACCGGAAAAGAGGAGUGGCGAACGGGUGAGUAACACGUGGGUAACCUGCCCAUCAGAAGGGGAUAACACUUGGAAACAGGUGCUAAUACCGUAUAACAAUCGAAACCGCAUGGUUUUGAUUUGAAAGGCGCUUUCGGGUGUCGCUGAUGGAUGGACCCGCGGUGCAUUAGCUAGUUGGUGAGGUAACGGCUCACCAAGGCCACGAUGCAUAGCCGACCUGAGAGGGUGAUCGGCCACAUUGGGACUGAGACACGGCCCAAACUCCUACGGGAGGCAGCAGUAGGGAAUCUUCGGCAAUGGACGAAAGUCUGACCGAGCAACGCCGCGUGAGUGAAGAAGGUUUUCGGAUCGUAAAACUCUGUUGUUAGAGAAGAACAAGGAUGAGAGUAACUGUUCAUCCCUUGACGGUAUCUAACCAGAGAGCCACGGCUAACUACGUGCCAGCAGCCGCGGUAAUACGUAGGUGGCAAGCGUUGUCCGGAUUUAUUGGGCGUAAAGCGAGCGCAGGCGGUUUCUUAAGUCUGAUGUGAAAGCCCCCGGCUCAACCGGGGAGGGUCAUUGGAAACUGGGAGACUUGAGUGCAGAAGAGGAGAGUGGAAUUCCAUGUGUAGCGGUGAAAUGCGUAGAUAUAUGGAGGAACACCAGUGGCGAAGGCGGCUCUCUGGUCUGUAACUGACGCUGAGGCUCGAAAGCGUGGGGAGCAAACAGGAUUAGAUACCCUGGUAGUCCACGCCGUACACGAUGAGUGCUAAGUGUUGGAGGGUUUCCGCCCUUCAGUGCUGCAGCUAACGCAUUAAGCACUCCGGCCGGGGGAGUACGACCGCAAGGUUGAAACUCAAAGGAAUUGACGGGGGCCCGCACAAGCGGUGGAGCAUGUGGUUUAUUCCAAGCAACGCGAAGAACCUUACCAGGUCUUGACAUCCUUUGACCACUCUAGAGAUAGAGCUUCCCCUUCGGAGGCAAAGUGACAGGUGGUGCAUGGUUGUCGUCACCUCCUGUCAUGAGAUGUUAGGUUAAUUCCCGCCACCAAGCCCAACCCUUAUUGUUAUUUGCCAUCAUUCAUUUGGGCACUCUCCCAGACUGCCGGUAACAACCGGAGAAAAGUGGGGAUAACGUCAAAUCACC